UACGUAGGGUGCAAGCGUUAUCCGGAAUUAUUGGGCGUAAAGAGCUCGUAGGCGGUUUGUCGCGUCUGCUGUGAAAACUGGAGGCUCAACCUCCAGCCUGCAGUGGGUACGGGCAGACUAGAGUGCGGUAGGGGAGAUUGGAAUUCCUGGUGUAGCGGUGGAAUGCGCAGAUAUCAGGAGGAACACCGGUGGCGAAGGCGGGUCUCUGGG
RNAcentral lists this ribosomal RNA (210 nucleotides) under uncultured bacterium. RNAcentral describes it as "partial 16S ribosomal RNA". It matches the Rfam family "Bacterial small subunit ribosomal RNA", at positions 524 to 733 of the family's 1533-position model. The record is from RNAcentral.